CCUACGGGAGGCAGCAGUAGGGAAUAUUGCUCAAUGGGGGAAACCCUGAAGCAGCAACGCCGCGUGGAGGAUGAAGGUUUUCGGAUUGUAAACUCCUUUUGUUAGAGAAGAUAAUGACGGUAUCUAACGAAUAAGCACCGGCUAACUCCGUGCCAGCAGCCGCGGUAAUACGGAGGGUGCAAGCGUUACUCGGAAUCACUGGGCGUAAAGAGCGCGUAGGCGGGAUAGCAAGUCAGAUGUGAAAUCCUAUGGCUUAACCAUAGAACUGCAUUUGAAACUGUUAUUCUAGAGUAUGGGAGAGGUAGGGGGAAUGCGUGGUGUAGGGGUAAAAUGCGUAGAGAUCAAGAGGAAUACUCAUUGCGAAGGCGACCUGCUAGAACAUAACUGACGCUGAUGCGCGAAAGCGUGGGGAGCAAACAGGAUUAGAUACCCCGGUAGUC
RNAcentral lists this ribosomal RNA (440 nucleotides) under uncultured bacterium. Its description in RNAcentral is "partial 16S ribosomal RNA". It matches the Rfam family "Bacterial small subunit ribosomal RNA", at positions 338 to 795 of the family's 1533-position model. The record is from RNAcentral.